Molecule: long non-coding RNA, 1074 nt
Organism: Catharus ustulatus (Swainson's thrush)
Lineage: Eukaryota; Metazoa; Chordata; Aves; Passeriformes; Turdidae
Exons: 3
Source: RefSeq, a predicted model, not a curated record
UUUCUUUUCAUACAUAACAUCUCACUAAAAAACCACAAAGAGGUGCUCUAAACACACAGUAGCUGUUGAGAGCAACUCUAGCAAGAACAGAUAGAACUGCUGCAAGCUCGCCUCAAGCUUCUUGACUUGAAUAUACAAAGAUAAACAUAUAUACAAGUCUUCACACAAUCAGGAGUGAAAAAAUAAAUUUCCCUCAAGAUCUAAUUUCUAAAUCUUCCUUUAAUCCAAUCGAAAUUAGUUUUGUAAUCCCAGAUGCUUGCUAAUUGAAGGUUCUUUAAAGGCUCUCUGACUGUAGAAAGCUUAGGCUACAUAGCCUGAAGUUGCAUUAAGCACAGUCUCAUCAGCAUUCAGCACCACUACUAUAGUGUAAAGCCUGGAAGAAGUGGAAAAAAUUACCUACUGAAACAUAAGAAGAUGAAAAGAGGCCAGCAAGAAGAAAGAAAAGCUGCUCAUUUCUCUUCUGAAGGUUCUUUUUCUAAUGGAUCCCCCUCCCAAGCAAUGUUGCGAAUGGCAGGUGAUGUGUUCUGCAAAUAGAUCAGCAAUGUCACUUCUAAAAUUGCACUUUUUGGCAUUCAGGUGUUGAAGCCAGUCAGCUGGUAGCCAGGUUUUAUCCAAGGCUGUAUUACAGAAAAAGAGUGUAUGUUAGAUCAUCUAGCAGCAAUUACAGUAAAACACCUCUGGCUUGAGACAGAAUCACUGUUACUGUUGCUUCCUGCAGUGAAUUCUGUCACUAUCAUAUUUGCUUCCUUUUUCACUCCCAGAUGUCAGAUAUACUUGGCUAAGAUUAUUUCACUGGGUUGAAUUAGUUCCACAACUUCUUCAGACACUGAAAUGACUGCUAUCUCUCCAACCAUUCUCAAACAUUGAGAUCUCAGUGAAAAAUUACAAAUAUAUAUAUCAGAUUAUAUUUUAAAAGGUACUGAAAUGUCAUUAAAUAAAUUAUGAGAUAUCCAUUGUUAGACUUACCCUAGUCACAAAUGGAAUAUUUUUCUUCUUUCCUUUUAUUCCCUUUGCUAUAAUAAUCCCUGCAGCAAGUUGUAAAUGCAACGAAUACCCCUGCUAUGAUGGAGAGAA